AAAAAUUAACCACCACCUAUUCAUCCCAAAAAUUCCCCGCCUCUUCGAAUUUGGGCAUUCGUCUUCAUCCACAACUUCCUCAAUUCCUCGAUCCAUCACCUUCACCAAAAACCUACUUCGCGGUUCCAACAAGUUCUUACACUCUUAAUUCGACCCUAAUGAGCUGAGGAUUUAGGGUUCUUACCUCCCAGUUAUCAAUUUGAGCCGAUGAUUUAGGGUUCCUAAAUCCGACCCUAAUUUUUUCUAUCUCACUCUCGUAUUUCCAUCUCAUCCCUCUCGCCUGGUUCAAAACACGUAAGCGGCGACGAACACACUAUUUAUUUGCAUAUUUUGGUCUUCACCAAGAUCUGGUUUCCAUGUAAGCUUUAUGUUUCGAGCCCAAACCAUCCUCACGCGAUGUCAUCAGCUUCUCUUACUUACGCAUCUACACUCGAUGGUUCUUUGUCUAGAAGCACCACUCCCGAACCUCAAAUCGUGGCUACGCUCCAUCAUCACCACACGCUGCUCGGUUCUGGAUUUGUUAGGGCUUGUUUUAUCCAUUCAUUUCCUCCCUACCACAAGUGAUCUUAUAACUCUGCAAAAUCGACCUCCUUCAAUCAUCUUUUCUAUAUCUUCAUAUGAUACAAGCUCUUCAGAUACUCUAGUCAAAGACAUCACUGGCUCCCCUCCCGUUGCCACUGAUUCCUCCACCCUCGCCGGCGUCAUACCUUCUUUCUCGUUGCCAACGUCCUUUUCUUCCUUCCCGUCGCCGACAUCCUGAACUCGUUUGGUAAGAGUUUAAGGCCUGGACUAUUUGGGCACGAAGUUUCUAGGGUUCUUGGUGGUGGUCUGGUACCUGGUUCUUUGAUUUUGAUUGGUGGUGAUCCAGGUGUCGAGAAAAGUACACUAAUAUUACAAAUCGCAGCCAUUAUAGCAGAAGGGAGAGAAAUCGGUAAACCAGCUCCUGUGCUUUAUGUCUCUGGAGAAGAGAGUGUUGAGCAAAUUGGAAACAGAGCAGAUCGUAUGGAAAUCGACACAGAAGAAUUCUUCUUGUAUUCAAGUACAGACAUUGAGGACAUUUUGGGAAAAGCUCAAGCUCUCUCUCCACGUGCCCUAAUCAUAGAUUCAAUCCAAACAGUUCAGCUAAUGGGAGUAACUGGAUGUGCUGGAGGUAUCUACCAGGUUAAAGAAUGUACAGUAGCCUUGUUGCGUUUUGCUAAGAAGACAUAUAUACCCGGUUAUAGCCAUAUGAUGACGUUGCAUUUCCAGACCUUGUAUUAACCGAAUGUUGUAUAGGAAAUAAGAGUCACUUCCGUGUGAUGUUUUAUGUGGAAGUUAGUUCAGGGUAUUUCUCAACAAACCUGCCAGCUGAGCUUACAAGCACAACUGAAUUAAAGUUAAAGAAUAGCAAUAGCAAUCAGUGGCAACCCCUUCUUACAUUUAUUGAAAUCUCAAGACGUUUUUCUCUCAAAGCAAAAGCCAUUAGAUUCCGGGGAACAAUUGAAGAUUGCAACACUCUCCUGCAACAAAUCCUUUAUCAUGUGAGUUCCUAUUUUUUUUUUUUUUUAAGAAAUUGCAACAUACUUUUAUUUACUUGUUUUCAUUCCUUUAUAUUGCAACACCCUACUUCAAAAUAAUGCAUUUUACUUUAAAAAUCUACCCAAUUAUACCAUUGUACUUUCAACUUUUGUCUUAUUAUAACAUUGUUUUACCUCGAUAGAAUCUAACUGAAUGUCUGUAAGUACAAACAAUAAUAAAAUACAGGGUGAUGAGGAAGGUGGGGUGCUUACAGUGAGUGUUAAUGAUAUGGGGUGGUAUGGAUGUUAUCCAGAAGAUUGUGAAGAGAUGAUGUCAGCGCCUCUUAUCUUUGAGGCCACCAUUAACUUGAUAAGAAAGAUGCAUGUCGAUCCGAUGGUUGCUCACUAUAAGUUACAUCUUUAUGCUGCUUUUUGCUACUAAUCGAACAGGGAAUGGAAUUGACCAUUCCGAUUCCUUCGUCCAAUGGGGAAGGGUGUUUUUUUUGUGUUCACUCACUCUUUGAUGAAAUGGAAUGAUUUUGUUAUAAUUAUCAAUUACUAUCAUCCAUAUAAUCAUCAAUAACAAUAAUAUAUUUAAAAAGUUUCAAAACUUCAAUUAAAUUAUUUUUUGGUAUUUUUCUAAAAGUAAGUAAAAAUAUUUUUCUGAUAGUAGUUUUAUUUAAAGAUUUUAUUAUGUAUCUUAUUAAGUUAUUUCUGUAAACACUUUUUUUAAGUGAUGAAAUUCAUUCCAUUUCCUCUAGCCAACCAAACAUGAUAAUGGAAUGCAAUGAUCUAUUCCAUUAUGUUGAUUCCAUUCUGUUGUGAUUGAUUCCAUAGAUAAUUAUUUAACUGAUAAUUAUUUCAUUACAUAAUGUACAUCAUUUAUGUCAGCGAUUUUGAUCGAAGCCAUUACACUCACAUUAUUGGUUGCGUUACUAAUAUUUUUCACAUGUAAAUGUGUAUUUAUCCUACUACACAAAAAGAUCAAAAAUCAACCUCAACCUCAAUCUCAAAAUUUACAACACAUGUCAAGUACAAAAGACUCAUCUGAGAAUAUAACUGGACAGCCUUCUGGCUUAUCUAAACGGUUUCAUGAGGAAUCAAAAUUGGGCUAAGUGUUGAUUCUCACAUGUCGUUCCCAAUUGGAGAAAAUUAGUGGAACUCCAUCUGUAACCGUAUUUUUCCAACUUCUUUUGCCACAGAUCUUGAUUCAUUACAGCCUAUCCAAUUAGGGAGUCGUACCCGUAUCAGAAGCAACCAGAGCUUGUUGAAUUGGUGAUCAAGGCUUUCAAACAACUUCAUAAGGCAAAGUGUCUUGCUAUAAACUCAGAUGUUGUGAGGUUUCUUUCAGGGUUUCCUGAAGAACUUGAAAGAAAAUGCCCUUUAUGAGUUUGACAAGUUUGAAUUUGGUUGAAAGAAAGGUUCCCUGAAGAAUUGCUCCAGAUAUCUGGGGACUUGAAUACCAAUUGCACUAUUUCUCCAUUAUUUGAGAAGGGAGAGUUAACUUAUGGGAUGAUUGGGGAAUGGCGUUUUGACAAAAGGUCAUAUCUUCGUGACUUUGUGCAGUUUCUAUGAGUAUUUACUUAAAGUGUGGAUACAAAGAAACAAAGCUGCAACUAUGAAGCCUUAUAACUUGCUAGGACAUGCUAUAACUUUUAUCAGUCCACACCAACAAAGUUGGCUGGAGAAAACUUCUUCCUCCAUUCAGGGCAGCUAAUGUUCAAGUCAUUAUUUGUCAUCUACACUAGAUGGACAACAACCAAUUUUUUGAUAUAGAGGAUUUGUUUUUUACAUGAUAUCUAAAACAAGGUGUCCCUUAAUAGCAAUGUAAUAAUAGGUUAGAUAGUUAGGGAUUGUAUUUUAUGCAAUGGAUUGUAUUUUUUGUAUAUGAUUAUUUGUAUGACAUUAAAUUUUAUGCAAUGGAUUGUAUUUUUUGUA
Molecule: non-coding RNA, 3434 nt
Organism: Lactuca sativa (garden lettuce)
Lineage: Eukaryota; Viridiplantae; Streptophyta; Magnoliopsida; Asterales; Asteraceae
Source: RefSeq, a predicted model, not a curated record